This is a long non-coding RNA of Brassica napus (rape), 1259 nucleotides long. RefSeq lists it as uncharacterized. Lineage: Eukaryota; Viridiplantae; Streptophyta; Magnoliopsida; Brassicales; Brassicaceae. The record is from RefSeq and is a predicted model, not a curated record. The transcript is spliced from 3 exons.
AAAAACCUCAGUCCUCUAUUUUAUCUUCUUCUCCGUUCGUGAACAAAAAAAAAAAAAAAACUUGUCUCCAUUACUUCAAUCGAGCUUCUUCAUCCUCCAUCUUCUUCUAUUAUGGGUCAUCUCUUUCUCUAAGUUUCCCUUUAAUCGAUUUACUGAAAUCGAAUCAGCGAAACUAAAUCUAGAGAUUGAAAAGUAUUAGCGGAGGAGGAGACGGAGCCACGACGGAGAUUCUGCCGGAGUUUCAGUGACGGUAACAUCGGCUGCCUUUCUGCAAGCCUGCUACUCUGUUUCUUUUGUAGAAGAAGCAGACAUUUCUGGUGCUUCUGAUUCCAAGGAGAUUUUCUAGGGUUUGUGAUUUCUGAUCUUUGUUUCCAGAGCAACCUGAGUUUGACGAUGAGAUUAAGGAAAUCGUUGUGAAGUUUAACUUCAGGUAACCUGUUGCCUCUGAGGUAAGACUCUUUUCUUUUGGCUCUUGUGUUGAAGAUGGCUUAAAAAAUUGAGUGUUGACCCUCUAAGCAUGAACACAGUCUCAGGCUUAUGAUGUUUGUAUCUGAGGGGAAAUUGGAUUUGUUUGCAAUAGGUAGAUCGAUAACUGGUUCUGGGCUAUGGAGAUAUAUGAAUCCAGCGUAUCAUCUCAAAAGGCCGAAGCAUUUUGGCAUUGCUUUUCAUUGUGUUCGUCUCUGUUUCUAUGGACGUUUGGGAUCGUAUAUAUCUUGCCCGAGAAAAUGAGUUAUGUUUUGUAUGAAUAUCUUUUGUAAGAGACAGUUUUAGUAUCAUGUAAGCAUUAGCUUAUGCUGAUUUUUUAUGUUAGGGAGCGUAAAGCUGUUCGGUUCGUUGAUGAUGGCCAGAGUUCGUUCCUUUGGUUUAGAACAAUUUUAAAGCUCAUGUCUGAACCAAUUUUAAAGCUUAUGUUUCUCUUAAUUAUCAGGUAUGCAUGUUUAUUUCUUCUUUCUUCGAGAGUGCAUUCUCAUACACAAGACUGAGGAGCUUGUCUUGUGUCUGAAUUGCCUUUUGCUGUGACUGGACUGUAUUGAAACUGCAGUUUGAUAUCUUGUGAUGACUGAGCCCAUCUUAAAGGCUGCUAGGUAUUGAUUCGGUUGGAAUGGUGUAGAGCCUGAUGAGUGACGAAGCUUCAAGGGUUGCGAGUGCCAGAGUACAGAAAAUGGAAUCCUUCAUUUUGAUUUACAUUUUGCACUGCAAAUUAUGUGACAAUUAACACUUCAGCAAUAAUAAAUUUGAAAAAAAAAACAAUUUUUUUU